Molecule: ribosomal RNA, 412 nt
Filed under: uncultured bacterium
Lineage: Bacteria
Description: bacterial SSU rRNA
Rfam family: Bacterial small subunit ribosomal RNA
Source: RNAcentral
GACGUAGUGGCGGACGGGUGAGUAACGCGUGGGUAACCGUGCCUCAUACAGGGGAGUAACAGUGGAACGACUGCUAAGACCGCAUAACCCGCUAGUGUCGCAUGACACGGACGGAAAAUAUUUAUAGGUAUGAGAUGGGCCCGCGUCUGAUUAGCUAGUUGGUAAGGUAACGGCUUACCAAGGCGACGAUCAGUAGCCGACUUGAGAGAGUGAUCGGCCACAUUGGGACUGAGACACGGCCCAAACUCCUACGGGAGGCAGCAGUGGGGAAUAUUGGACAAUGGGGGAAACCCUGAUCCAGCGAACCGCCGCGUGAGUGAAGAAAUAUUUCGGUAUGUAAAGCUCUAUCAGCAGGGAAGAUAAUGACAGUACCUGACUAAGAAGCCCCGGCUAACUACGUGCCAGCCGCAGC